CAAAUUGAGAGUUUGAUCCUGGCUCAGGAUGAACGCUGGCGGCGUGCCUAAUACAUGCAAGUCGAACGCUUUGUGGUUCAACUGAUUUGAAGAGCUUGCUCAGAUAUGACGAUGGACAUUGCAAAGAGUGGCGAACGGGUGAGUAACACGUGGGAAACCUACCUCUUAGCAGGGGAUAACAUUUGGAAACAGAUGCUAAUACCGUAUAACAAUGACAACCGCAUGGUUGUUAUUUAAAAGAUGGUUCUGCUAUCACUAAGAGAUGGUCCCGCGGUGCAUUAGCUAGUUGGUAAGGUAAUGGCUUACCAAGGCGAUGAUGCAUAGCCGAGUUGAGAGACUGAUCGGCCACAAUGGGACUGAGACACGGCCCAUACUCCUACGGGAGGCAGCAGUAGGGAAUCUUCCACAAUGGGCGAAAGCCUGAUGGAGCAACGCCGCGUGUGUGAUGAAGGGUUUCGGCUCGUAAAACACUGUUGUAAGAGAAGAAUGACAUUGAGAGUAACUGUUCAAUGUGUGACGGUAUCUUACCAGAAAGGAACGGCUAAAUACGUGCCAGCAGCCGCGGUAAUACGUAUGUUCCAAGCGUUAUCCGGAUUUAUUGGGCGUAAAGCGAGCGCAGACGGUUAUUUAAGUCUGAAGUGAAAGCCCUCAGCUCAACUGAGGAAUUGCUUUGGAAACUGGAUGACUUGAGUGCAGUAGAGGAAAGUGGAACUCCAUGUGUAGCGGUGAAAUGCGUAGAUAUAUGGAAGAACACCAGUGGCGAAGGCGGCUUUCUGGACUGUAACUGACGUUGAGGCUCGAAAGUGUGGGUAGCAAACAGGAUUAGAUACCCUGGUAGUCCACACCGUAAACGAUGAGUGCUAGGUGUUUGAGGGUUUCCGCCCUUAAGUGCCGCAGCUAACGCAUUAAGCACUCCGCCUGGGGAGUACGACCGCAAGGUUGAAACUCAAAGGAAUUGACGGGGACCCGCACAAGCGGUGGAGCAUGUGGUUUAAUUCGAAGCAACGCGAAGAACCUUACCAGGUCUUGACAUCCCUUGACAACUCCAGAGAUGGAGCGUUCCCUUUGGGGACAAGGUGACAGGUGGUGCAUGGUUGUCGUCAGCUCGUGUCGUGAGAUGUUGGGUUAAGUCCCGCAACGAGCGCAACCCUUAUUACUAGUUGCCAGCAUUUAGUUGGGCACUCUAGUGAGACUGCCGGUGACAAACCGGAGGAAGGUGGGGAUGACGUCAAAUCAUCAUGCCCCUUAUGACCUGGGCUACACACGUGCUACAAUGGCGUAUACAACGAGUUGCCAACCCGCGAGGGUGAGCUAAUCUCUUAAAGUACGUCUCAGUUCGGAUUGUAGGCUGCAACUCGCCUACAUGAAGUCGGAAUCGCUAGUAAUCGCGGAUCAGCACGCCGCGGUGAAUACGUUCCCGGGUCUUGUACACACCGCCCGUCACACCAUGAGAGUUUGUAACACCCAAAGCCGGUGGGGUAACCUUCGGGAGCCAGCCGUCUAAGGUGGGACAGAUGAUUAGGGUGAAGUCGUAACAAGGUAGCCGUAGGAGAACCUGCGGCUGGAUCACCUCCUUU
RNAcentral lists this ribosomal RNA (1577 nucleotides) under Weissella confusa. RNAcentral's name for it is "bacterial SSU rRNA". It matches the Rfam family "Bacterial small subunit ribosomal RNA". Lineage: Bacteria; Bacillati; Bacillota; Bacilli; Lactobacillales; Lactobacillaceae. The record is from RNAcentral.